Molecule: ribosomal RNA, 253 nt
Filed under: uncultured bacterium
Lineage: Bacteria
Description: partial 16S ribosomal RNA
Rfam family: Bacterial small subunit ribosomal RNA
Source: RNAcentral
UACGUAGGGACCAAGCGUUGUUCGGAUUUACUGGGCGUAAAGGGCGCGUAGGCGGCUUAACAAGUCACUUGUGAAAUCUCCGGGCUUAACUCGGAACGGCCAAGUGAAACUGUCAAGCUAGAGUGCAGAAGGGGCAAUCAGAAUUCUUGGUGUAGCGGUGAAAUGCGUAGAUAUCAAGAGGAACACCUGAGGUGAAGACGGGUUGCUGGGCUGACACUGACGCUGAGGCGCGAAAGCCAGGGGAGCAAACGGG